GAUGAAGAACGUAGCGAAAUGCGAUAAGUAAUGUGAAUUGCAGAAUUCAGUGAAUCAUCGAAUCUUUGAACGCAUCUUGCGCUCCCUGGUAUUCCGAGGAGCAUGCCUGUUUGAGUGUCAUCUAAAUCCUCAAACCACAUUGAUUCUUUCGGUGUGGCUUUGGAAGUGGGGGUAGUGUUUGCAGGUUUUAUCUUAAGUCUGCUCCCCUGAAAUGCAUUAGUGGUAUCUGAGCAGAAGGAACUACUACAGGUGUGAUAAUUUAUCUAUGCCUUAGUAUACUGCAUAAAACAGAUUACACUGCUGAUAACAAACUUUAUUUCUUUUUUUUGGAGACCUCAAAUCAGGUAGGACUACCCGCUGAACUUAAGCAUAUCAAUAAGCGGAGGA
Molecule: unclassified non-coding RNA, 387 nt
Filed under: soil metagenome
Description: partial contains 5.8S ribosomal RNA, internal transcribed spacer 2, and large subunit ribosomal RNA
Rfam family: 5.8S ribosomal RNA (bases 1-120)
Source: RNAcentral